AUUGAACGCUGGCGGCAGGCCUAACACAUGCAAGUCGAGCGGAUGAAGGGAGCUUGCUCCUGGAUUCAGCGGCGGACGGGUGAGUAAUGCCUAGGAAUCUGCCUGGUAGUGGGGGAUAACGUCCGGAAACGGGCGUUAAUACCGCAUACGUCCUGAGGGAGAAAGUGGGGGAUCUUCGGACCUCACGCUAUCAGAUGAGCCUAGGUCGGAUUAGCUAGUUGGUGGGGUAAAGGCCUACCAAGGCGACGAUCCGUAACUGGUCUGAGAGGAUGAUCAGUCACACUGGAACUGAGACACGGUCCAGACUCCCACGGGAGGCAGCAGUGGGGAAUAUUGGACAAUGGGCGAAAGCCUGAUCCAGCCAUGCCGCGUGUGUGAAGAAGGUCUUCGGAUUGUAAAGCACUUUAAGUUGGGAGGAAGGGCAGUAAGUUAAUACCUUGCUGUUUUGACGUUACCAACAGAAUAAGCACCGGCUAACUUCGUG
Molecule: ribosomal RNA, 484 nt
Filed under: uncultured bacterium
Lineage: Bacteria
Description: partial 16S ribosomal RNA
Rfam family: Bacterial small subunit ribosomal RNA
Source: RNAcentral